Molecule: unclassified non-coding RNA, 376 nt
Filed under: Hevea brasiliensis (rubber tree)
Lineage: Eukaryota; Viridiplantae; Streptophyta; Magnoliopsida; Malpighiales; Euphorbiaceae
Source: RNAcentral
GGGUGUGCGUGCACAGGGUGGAGGGGAUUGUUAAGGGUUAGGGUAUUUUAGUUUUUUAUAUAGUUAAUGGCUAAAUGGAUCUAAAACUGUUGGAAGGACUUAAUUGUUGAUAGAGGCAAAUUACGGGGACUUAAUGAUCUAUUUCCAAAAUACAAGGACCAAAGUGUUAAUAAUGGUAAAACUAAGGUAAUUUAGAAUUAUGGUAAAACUAAGGGACUAAAUAUUAAAUUACCUUUCUUUUCUUAUUGUCCAUUGUCCAAUUGGAAAAUCUAAGUGAUUAUUGGAAUUUGUAUUUGUUCGGAUCUUCUGAACAAAUGCUUGAUGCAUUUACUUGUGUCCUGUUGGAAGUACAUCUUUUCAAUGAUCCUACUUAAGA